AUACGGAGGGUCCAAGCGUUGUUCGGAAUCACUGGGCGUAAAGCGCGUGCAGGCGGCCCAUUAAGUCAGAUGUGAAAGCCCUCGGCUCAACCAAGGAACUGCAUCUGAAACUACUGGGCUUGAGUACGGGAGAGGAGAGUGGAAUUCCCGGUGUAGAGGUGAAAUUCGUAGAUAUCGGGAAGAACACCGGUGGCGAAGGCGACUCUCUGGACCGAUACUGACGCUGAGACGCGAAAGCGUGGGGAGCAAACAGGAUUAGAAACCCCGGUAGUCC
Molecule: ribosomal RNA, 274 nt
Filed under: uncultured bacterium
Lineage: Bacteria
Description: partial 16S ribosomal RNA
Rfam family: Bacterial small subunit ribosomal RNA
Source: RNAcentral